AGAGUUUGAUCCUGGCUCAGAUUGAACGCUGGCGGCAUGCCUUACACAUGCAAGUCGAGCGGCAGCGCGGGGGCAACCCUGGCGGCGAGCGGCGAACGGGUGAGUAAUGCAUCGGAACGUGUCCUCUUGUGGGGGAUAACCAGUCGAAAGACUGGCUAAUACCGCAUGAGAUCGAGAGAUGAAAGCAGGGGACCGCAAGGCCUUGCGCGAGAGGAGCGGCCGAUGCCGGAUUAGCUAGUUGGUGGGGUAACGGCCCACCAAGGCGACGAUCCGUAGCUGGUCUGAGAGGACGACCAGCCACACUGGGACUGAGACACGGCCCAGNACUCCUACGGGAGGCAGCAGUGGGGAAUUUUGGACAAUGGGGGCAACCCUGAUCCAGCCAUGCCGCGUGUGUGAAGAAGGCUCUUGGGUUGUAAAGCUCUUUCGGCCAAGAAGAAGGGGUAGCCUGCGAACAGUUGGCUAUUCUGACGGUACUGGAAGAAGAAGCACCUGCUAACUACGUGCCAGCAGCAGCGGUAAUACGUAGGGUGCAAGCGUUGUUCGGAAUUACUGGGCGUAAAGCGCGCGUAGGCGGGCUUGUAAGUCGAUUGUGAAAGCCCUGGGCUUACCCGGGAAUGGCAGUCGAAACUAUAAGUCUUGAGUGCCUGAGAGGAUGGCGGAAUUCCCGGGUGUAGAAGUGAAAUUCG
RNAcentral lists this ribosomal RNA (689 nucleotides) under uncultured bacterium. RNAcentral describes it as "bacterial SSU rRNA". It matches the Rfam family "Bacterial small subunit ribosomal RNA", at positions 8 to 690 of the family's 1533-position model. The record is from RNAcentral.